UUAAGCGACUAAGCGUACACGGUGGAUGCCCUGGCAGUCAGAGGCGAUGAAGGACGUGCUAAUCUGCGAUAAGCGUCGGUAAGGUGAUAUGAACCGUUAUAACCGGCGAUUUCCGAAUGGGGAAACCCAGUGUGUUUCGACACACUAUCAUUAACUGAAUCCAUAGGUUAAUGAGGCGAACCGGGGGAACUGAAACAUCUAAGUACCCCGAGGAAAAGAAAUCAACCGAGAUUCCCCCAGUAGCGGCGAGCGAACGGGGAGGAGCCCAGAGCCUGAAUCAGUGUGUGUGUUAGUGGAAGCGUCUGGAAAGGCGCGCGAUACAGGGUGACAGCCCCGUACACAAAAAUGCACAUGCUGUGAGCUCGAUGAGUAGGGCGGGACACGUGGUAUCCUGUCUGAAUAUGGGGGGACCAUCCUCCAAGGCUAAAUACUCCUGACUGACCGAUAGUGAACCAGUACCGUGAGGGAAAGGCGAAAAGAACCCCGGCGAGGGGAGUGAAAAAGAACCUGAAACCGUGUACGUACAAGCAGUGGGAGCACGCUUAGGCGUGUGACUGCGUACCUUUUGUAUAAUGGGUCAGCGACUUAUAUUCUGUAGCAAGGUUAACCGAAUAGGGGAGCCGAAGGGAAACCGAGUCUUAACUGGGCGUUAAGUUGCAGGGUAUAGACCCGAAACCCGGUGAUCUAGCCAUGGGCAGGUUGAAGGUUGGGUAACACUAACUGGAGGACCGAACCGACUAAUGUUGAAAAAUUAGCGGAUGACUUGUGGCUGGGGGUGAAAGGCCAAUCAAACCGGGAGAUAGCUGGUUCUCCCCGAAAGCUAUUUAGGUAGCGCCUCGUGAAUUCAUCUCCGGGGGUAGAGCACUGUUUCGGCAAGGGGGUCAUCCCGACUUACCAACCCGAUGCAAACUGCGAAUACCGGAGAAUGUUAUCACGGGAGACACACGGCGGGUGCUAACGUCCGUCGUGAAGAGGGAAACAACCCAGACCGCCAGCUAAGGUCCCAAAGUCAUGGUUAAGUGGGAAACGAUGUGGGAAGGCCCAGACAGCCAGGAUGUUGGCUUAGAAGCAGCCAUCAUUUAAAGAAAGCGUAAUAGCUCACUGGUCGAGUCGGCCUGCGCGGAAGAUGUAACGGGGCUAAACCAUGCACCGAAGCUGCGGCAGCGACACUGUGUGUUGUUGGGUAGGGGAGCGUUCUGUAAGCCUGUGAAGGUGUACUGUGAGGUAUGCUGGAGGUAUCAGAAGUGCGAAUGCUGACAUAAGUAACGAUAAAGCGGGUGAAAAGCCCGCUCGCCGGAAGACCAAGGGUUCCUGUCCAACGUUAAUCGGGGCAGGGUGAGUCGACCCCUAAGGCGAGGCCGAAAGGCGUAGUCGAUGGGAAACAGGUUAAUAUUCCUGUACUUGGUGUUACUGCGAAGGGGGGACGGAGAAGGCUAUGUUGGCCGGGCGACGGUUGUCCCGGUUUAAGCGUGUAGGCUGGUUUUCCAGGCAAAUCCGGAAAAUCAAGGCUGAGGCGUGAUGACGAGGCACUACGGUGCUGAAGCAACAAAUGCCCUGCUUCCAGGAAAAGCCUCUAAGCAUCAGGUAACAUCAAAUCGUACCCCAAACCGACACAGGUGGUCAGGUAGAGAAUACCAAGGCGCUUGAGAGAACUCGGGUGAAGGAACUAGGCAAAAUGGUGCCGUAACUUCGGGAGAAGGCACGCUGAUAUGUAGGUGAAGUCCCUCGCGGAUGGAGCUGAAAUCAGUCGAAGAUACCAGCUGGCUGCAACUGUUUAUUAAAAACACAGCACUGUGCAAACACGAAAGUGGACGUAUACGGUGUGACGCCUGCCCGGUGCCGGAAGGUUAAUUGAUGGGGUCAGCGCAAGCGAAGCUCUUGAUCGAAGCCCCGGUAAACGGCGGCCGUAACUAUAACGGUCCUAAGGUAGCGAAAUUCCUUGUCGGGUAAGUUCCGACCUGCACGAAUGGCGUAAUGAUGGCCAGGCUGUCUCCACCCGAGACUCAGUGAAAUUGAACUCGCUGUGAAGAUGCAGUGUACCCGCGGCAAGACGGAAAGACCCCGUGAACCUUUACUAUAGCUUGACACUGAACAUUGAGCCUUGAUGUGUAGGAUAGGUGGGAGGCUUAGAAGUGUGGACGCCAGUCUGCAUGGAGCCGACCUUGAAAUACCACCCUUUAAUGUUUGAUGUUCUAACGUUGACCCGUAAUCCGGGUUGCGGACAGUGUCUGGUGGGUAGUUUGACUGGGGCGGUCUCCUCCUAAAGAGUAACGGAGGAGCACGAAGGUUGGCUAAUCCUGGUCGGACAUCAGGAGGUUAGUGCAAUGGCAUAAGCCAGCUUGACUGCGAGCGUGACGGCGCGAGCAGGUGCGAAAGCAGGUCAUAGUGAUCCGGUGGUUCUGAAUGGAAGGGCCAUCGCUCAACGGAUAAAAGGUACUCCGGGGAUAACAGGCUGAUACCGCCCAAGAGUUCAUAUCGACGGCGGUGUUUGGCACCUCGAUGUCGGCUCAUCACAUCCUGGGGCUGAAGUAGGUCCCAAGGGUAUGGCUGUUCGCCAUUUAAAGUGGUACGCGAGCUGGGUUUAGAACGUCGUGAGACAGUUCGGUCCCUAUCUGCCGUGGGCGCUGGAGAACUGAGGGGGGCUGCUCCUAGUACGAGAGGACCGGAGUGGACGCAUCACUGGUGUUCGGGUUGUCAUGCCAAUGGCACUGCCCGGUAGCUAAAUGCGGAAGAGAUAAGUGCUGAAAGCAUCUAAGCACGAAACUUGCCCCGAGAUGAGUUCUCCCUGACUCCUUGAGAGUCCUGAAGGAACGUUGAAGACGACGACGUUGAUAGGCCGGGUGUGUAAGCGCAGCGAUGCGUUGAGCUAACCGGUACUAAUGAACCGUGAGGCUUAACCU
RNAcentral lists this ribosomal RNA (2900 nucleotides) under Escherichia coli. Its description in RNAcentral is "23S ribosomal RNA". It matches the Rfam family "Bacterial large subunit ribosomal RNA". Lineage: Bacteria; Pseudomonadati; Pseudomonadota; Gammaproteobacteria; Enterobacterales; Enterobacteriaceae. The record is from RNAcentral.